RNAcentral lists this ribosomal RNA (844 nucleotides) under Salinicoccus sp. D49-PB-H06. RNAcentral describes it as "bacterial SSU rRNA". The stretch from base 11 to 531 matches the Rfam family "Bacterial small subunit ribosomal RNA", at positions 38 to 536 of the family's 1533-position model. Lineage: Bacteria; Bacillati; Bacillota; Bacilli; Caryophanales; Staphylococcaceae. The record is from RNAcentral.
AGUAAGUCAUGGCGGCUGCCUAAUACAUGCAAGUCGAACGCGCGGAUCAGGAGCUUGCUCCUGUGACGCGAGUGGCGGACGGGUGAGUAACACGUAGGCAACCUGCCCAUCAGACCGGGAUAACCACGGGAAACCGUGGCUAAUACCGGAUAACCCUUUUCCACACAGGUGGGAAAGUUGAAAGGCGGCUUCGGCUGUCACUGAUGGAUGGGCCUGCGGCGCAUUAGCUGGUUGGUGGGGUAACGGCCCACCAAGGCGACGAUGCGUAGCCGACCUGAGAGGGUGAUCGGCCACACUGGGACUGAGACACGGCCCAGACUCCUACGGGAGGCAGCAGUAGGGAAUCUUCCGCAAUGGACGAAAGUCUGACGGAGCAACGCCGCGUGAGUGAAGAAGGGUUUCGGCUCGUAAAAGCUCUGUGGUCAGGGAACGAAUGCCGACGGGAGUCACCUGCCCGUCGGGUGACGAGUACCUGACCAGAAAGCCACGAGCUAACUACGUGCCAGCAGCCGCGGUAAUACGUAGGUAGUAUGCGUGCAUCCGGAGAUGAUCCGGGCUGUCCAGCGCGCGUAGUGCAGAUUCGUCCAGUCUGAUGUCACAGCCUCCGGCGACGACCCGCUCUGGUCAUGCGGACGAAUCGCCGACUCGAGGUGCGGCGAGUAUGACCACUGCACCUAGCAAAGUGUACCACAUCGACACUACAUCAUAGGANUGACAGCGAACAGCAGCUAGCGGCUGCUUCCUCUCGUCUGCAGAUAGUAUACAUACUAUGCGUAGUCAUACGCUGUACUGAUGACUGGUCAGCCCGUAACAUCAGUAGUAGCCACCCGUUCACCGGCUUUCC